Molecule: long non-coding RNA, 437 nt
Filed under: Marmota monax (woodchuck)
Lineage: Eukaryota; Metazoa; Chordata; Mammalia; Rodentia; Sciuridae
Source: RNAcentral
UUAUUAUUAUUAUUAUUAUUAUUAUUAAUUUAUUUUGGGAGAGUGUUACAUUAAGUUUCUUUAUCCUCACAGCAAAUUCAGGAUCCUCCUACUGUGGUCUCCCAAGUUGUCUACUUUACAGGCAUUUAUCACCAUUUCUGGCUUCCAGCACAUUUCUUUUUUAUUGGAGACAGGGUUUUGCCCUCUUUGACCUUGAACUUGCACAAGUUGGCCUUAAACUUGUAAUCCUCUCCUUUAGCUUCUUAAAUAUAUGGGAUUAGUUGUGUGCCAUGAUCCCAGAUAUUAUUAGUUUUUUGAGUAAUAUGCACAGUUUUUCAUAUCAGCUACCCAAUUUACUUGCACACACCCGUGCAUAAGUGUUGAUUUUUCUCCACAUCCACAUCAGUGUUUGUCACUUUUCUAAGUUAUAGAUUCUGACUGGGAUGAGAUGAUACCUC